GGUCAGCUGACACAUCCCUGCCAAUCUCCGGCAGACCCUCCCUCCCAGACCCUCCCACCUCCUGGACAGCAUCCAUGUUGAAGCUGUCUUCAACAUGGAUGCUGUCCAGGAAGUAGGAGGGUCUGGGAGGGAGGGUCUGCCGGAGAUUGGCAGGGAUGUGUCAGCUG
RNAcentral lists this microRNA precursor (167 nucleotides) under Pelobates cultripes (western spadefoot toad). The record is from RNAcentral. Lineage: Eukaryota; Metazoa; Chordata; Amphibia; Anura; Pelobatidae.